UUGGGGUUUGUCUCUCUGGGCGUUUCAAUUUUGCUCUCAGUAACCUCACAGUUCACUGCUGGAAAACAUCUGCAGCCGUCAUGAAGAUCCCAACUGCUGCUGAGGAGAUUGUGAUCCUGAGUGGAGUUGUUGGGAGAAACCUGACGCUGCCUGAUCCUGUGAGGAACUCUGGGUUUUUUAAGCAUGGAGACAGUAUUGUUGGGCGAGUGUACCCGGGACUUUUCAAUUUUAUGGAUAAAAAUUACAAAAACAAAAUUCACUGGAAUAGCAGCAAUGGACGUUUCACACUCAUUGACCUACAACACAAUGACUCAGGAAGUUAUACCAUUGAUCCAAAGAAUGAAGGCACUCUAAAAACAUAUAAUGUCACAGUGUAUGACCCCGCACUGACUCCUGUUAUCCAACGUCUGAAUGGAAGCUCCAGCAGCUGCUUGUUGUCGUGUUCGGUGGACAGCGAGACCAAUCUGCAGAUUAUAAAGGAUGACCAGACUGUGAACGAGACCAGAUCUAAGUCACUGCCGUUCUAUGUGCAAGAAACGGACUUUAACUCAACUUACCAAUGUGUUGCAUCCAACCCUGCAGAGAACAGGACUGAGAACAUCAACGUCACCGUAUGGUGCAGAAAGGACACCAGUGACACAACAGACAAUCUGAAGAUUUCGAUUCUGGUUGGGCUUGUGUUAUUAUUAUUUGGGGUUGGGGUUGGUAUUGGUGUUUAUUGUUGCAAGAGACACAAGAGACUCAAUCAUGCACAAGGUACUUCUUGAUAUUUUUAUUUCAUUUUAACGCACCUUUUGUAAUAUAUUUCUUUAUGAUUCUUGAUAGAAAAAAAUUAUAAUUAACAGCUCGUUUGGAGUUCUAACCAUAAUUUUUUUUAGGAUGAUUUUUAUUCUCAUAAUCUCAUGUCUCCUACUUAAUAAGAAUUACAUGCAGAAACCAAAUUAACUUUAUUCAGAAACACUUUAAAACCAGAACAAACAUCAUUUACCAGCAUUAAAAACACAUAAAAAUGUUAUAAAGUAACUUGAACAAAUGAAGUACACUCUUCCCUACUGGGUCAAAAUUCAGAGUUCAAUCUAUUUCAUUAAAUCUCUAGUUGACUUUAAGUCUAAGCAUUCCUGGGGUGAGAAGUGGUCAGUGGAAACUUGAUCUGCAGGAUCUCCAAUCAUCAAACACCACAUAUUCUGUUUUACAAAAAUAAAACCCAGAACAGGCCGAGUUUUAUCAGUCAGUAACAAUAAAGCGUAACGACACAGACAACAACGUUAACAGUUUUAUCCUAAUAAAAUAAUAAUAGAUUACAUGUUAGGCUUUCUAUGUCGCUCUCUCACCAGUUAUUAUGUUAUUAUGGUAACACAUAAUGAAAAUGAAGAUUCUUGAAUAGCAGCAGAUAUUAUAGAGACUCAAUGUUUCUUCUGCAUAUCUCUAAAGAGGAGAUGGAUCAUGAUCAUGGCUACCAUUCACAACCAGACGCUUAGAAAAGUCCACAACAUGGACCCGAGUCCAGCUGCUACAACCGAGUCUGGAUUUAUUAGUUAGAGACAGAUUACUGUUCCGGGCAAUGAUGCAAACCUUAAAAUAGAUACUUGUUUAUAAAAUAAAGAGUCAUAUUGUUGGGGGAAACAUUAAAACACUUUCUAGGCCCUGUGUGAUGAUAGCAGUGGAUCAUCUGGAGAGGUUAAAGCAACAGGCCUAAAAUCCUUCAAGGAUCCAGGGUUUAAAAUAUUGUUGAAACUGGAGCAAUAAUUGACUUUUCAGAACCGUGGAAACUUGUGUUUCUGGAGUGAUGAGAGAAGAAAAUAAAAGAUGCUGCAGACAUUUCAGGCACUAUGUGGUCCACAUGGUACCAGACUCUGGACAUUUAUAAGACUCGUCAAUUUGAAACGAUUUUCCACCUUUCUCUCAGGAAAUUAAGCUGGGGAGCCCUGAUACUCUUAGUUGAAGGAACAUAUCACUAAAGCUAAAUACAACAAUAUUUUUGCCCUACUUGUUAGAGUAAAUAACUUUUUUAACCUUUUGUUUUAGAGAUGGAAGAAAGCUUUGGCCAUCCACAGAGCUUCAUCAUGUCUGAGAAUGUUAGAAGAUCCAACCAGCAGCUUAUCUCCAUUUUAUUAAUUAGAAAACCACUGUGAGCAACGCAAAAAGACUUUUACUGGAGAUUGUUAUAGGUUGCUUAUUUAUUUUAUCUCCUAGGUCAUAUAACCUAUUUUCCAUUAUGUCAGCUGAGGCAGCAGAAGUGAAGUCAGUCUCAUCUGUCAUCACUAACUAGCUGGAAGCUGGAAGCCAGUUGUCAAUGAGCUCUCAGUUAAAAGUGACUCAGGUACUUCUUAAAUAAUCCACUGCAAAAUAAUUAGAUGUUUAUUCAAGGCAGAUAAAUACAGGAAGGACCAAUUAUAGCCACAAAAAAGCAGGAUUUAUAUAUAGAGUAAAUAUGUGAGGGUUUGAUAAAUCUAAUGUUUGCAUGUAAGUAAUACUGUAGUGAUGCUUUUUCUUUAUUGAUUGUAAACAUUUAGUGGAUGCAGUCUGAUGAUAGUAAUACUGUUAUACAAGCUGACAAUCAAAUUAUACGAGUUGCUUUAAUUUCUGCAAAUGACUUUAAGUUUCAGAUGUUCUACAGCCUUUAGUGUUAAAAUAAAAUCUGCUGUCAGGUAAUCUAGUCAACAUGUUGGCAGCUUUUUAUUUUAAUUAUGGAUCAAACACAAAGAAAGUACAGAAACAGAUUCUAAGGUGGCUUUUUAGCUCCUAAUGAGAAAGUUGCUUCUUGGUUGGAAUAUUGUCGUCUUUGAUCUGUGAUAAAACUUUUCUAAUAGAACCUUGUUUCUUAUUCUGUAAAACUUCACUGUUGCUGUUCAAAUUAGAUUUUUAUCACAUUAAAGCUUCAUUGUGUCUCUUGCAGAACCACCCACAGCAGCACAGUCAUCUAAUGGUGAAAACCAUCAGGAAGAAUUGGAGCUGGAGCCGCUCAGACAACCGCCAACGGCUGAUCAGAACCUGAAUCACUGUGAAGCUCAUUAACUGCACUGAAGAAGACUACAAGACUACACUUUUUAAUAGGAUAUAUGUACUGGGUUCUUUCAAGGUCUUCAUUACAUUUUAUGAAUGGGCUCCAGUAAC
Fundulus heteroclitus (mummichog) is the source of this 3114-nucleotide RNA transcript. RefSeq lists it as uncharacterized. The record is from RefSeq and is a predicted model, not a curated record. The transcript is spliced from 5 exons. Lineage: Eukaryota; Metazoa; Chordata; Actinopteri; Cyprinodontiformes; Fundulidae.